AUUUCCUACGGGAGGCAGCAGUGGGGAAUAUUGGGCAAUGGGCGCAAGCCUGACCCAGCAACGCCGCGUGAAGGAAGAAGGCUUUCGGGUUGUAAAAUUCUGUUAUAAGGGAAGAAAGGUGAUAGGAGGAAAUGACUAUCAAUUGACGGUACCUUAUGAGAAAGCCACGGCUAACUACGUGCCAGCAGCCGCGGUAAUACGUAGGUGGCAAGCGUUAUCCGGAAUUAUUGGGCGUAAAGAGCGCGCAGGUGGUUAAUUAAGUCUGAUGUGAAAGCCCACGGCUUAACCGUGGAGGGUCAUUGGAA
Molecule: ribosomal RNA, 305 nt
Filed under: uncultured bacterium
Lineage: Bacteria
Description: bacterial SSU rRNA
Rfam family: Bacterial small subunit ribosomal RNA
Source: RNAcentral